This 114-nucleotide ribosomal RNA is filed under the name Zingiber officinale. Lineage: Eukaryota; Viridiplantae; Streptophyta; Magnoliopsida; Zingiberales; Zingiberaceae. The record is from RNAcentral.
GCGAUCAUACAAGCACUAAUGCACCAGAUCCCAUCAGAACUCUGAAGUUAAGCGUGCUAAGACGAAAGCAGAAAUAAGAUGGGUGAUCCCCUGGGAAGUCCUCAUAUUGUACCU